Molecule: ribosomal RNA, 427 nt
Filed under: uncultured bacterium
Lineage: Bacteria
Description: partial 16S ribosomal RNA
Rfam family: Bacterial small subunit ribosomal RNA
Source: RNAcentral
UGGGGAAUAUUGCACAAUGGGCGCAAGCCUGAUGCAGCCAUGCCGCGUGUAUGAAGAAGGCCUUCGGGUUGUAAAGUACUUUCAGCGGGGAGGAAGGUGUUGAGGUUAAUAACCUCAGAAAUUGACGUUACCCGCAGAAGAAGCACCGGCUAACUCCGUGCCAGCAGCCGCGGUAAUACGGAGGGUGCAAGCGUUAAUCGGAAUUACUGGGCGUAAAGCGCACGCAGGCGGUCUGUCAAGUCGGAUGUGAAAUCCCCGGGCUCAACCUGGGAACUGCAUUCGAAACUGGCAGGCUAGAGUCUUGUAGAGGGGGGUAGAAUUCCAGGUGUAGCGGUGAAAUGCGUAGAGAUCUGGAGGAAUACCGGUGGCGAAGGCGGCCCCCUGGACAAAGACUGACGCUCAGGUGCGAAAGCGUGGGGAGCAAACA